This 27-nucleotide non-coding RNA is filed under the name Mus musculus (house mouse). The record is from RNAcentral. Lineage: Eukaryota; Metazoa; Chordata; Mammalia; Rodentia; Muridae.
UGCUGCGCAUCCUCAGUCAAACCCCGG